UCCCCUCUGGCACAACAUCUUACACUCCACAAGGUGGAGACUCUACCUGACCUCUUCCAGCAAGCUCAAGCAUUCAUUGAGGUGGAAGAGCAGAAUGAGAACAAGCUGGUGGAACUUGAGACCACCAGCUACAAAAAACCAAAGUUCGAGAAGAAGAGUUACGGCGGAAAGAACAGUUUCCGAGGCUCCUCGAGCAAGUACACUGAGCAUGCGGCUAGCCCCUACAAAAAGGAGUGGAAGCCAAAGCAUGACAACAAGGUGUACCAAACAACCACCAAACAGUCGCCAAAGGGUCCACCCCAACCAUGGAAGGAUUGGACCCCUCUUACAAUCAAUAAGGGCGAGCUGUUUGAGAAACUGAAAAGUCGGGCAGAUCUACCUCCUGCCCGCACUCUGGACCCUGCAACCAAAAGUAGUCGGAAGAAAGGGGGACGGUUCUGUAAAUUUCACAAGGACCACGGCCACCUCACCGACCACUGCAGGGAAUUCUCGAUCUACGUCGAGCAACUGGUCUCCAAGGGUGAACUUGGCAACUUCGUCAAAGGACCCCGAGGACGAGACGGUU
This 565-nucleotide long non-coding RNA is filed under the name Zostera marina. RNAcentral describes it as "long non-coding RNA (ZMAR_LNC003660)". The record is from RNAcentral. Lineage: Eukaryota; Viridiplantae; Streptophyta; Magnoliopsida; Alismatales; Zosteraceae.